UUAACUUAAAUUUGUAUGGAAUUGGAACGUUUACCGACGUUUGCCGCUAUGGGCGCUGUUCCAGAUGCAUACAAAUCUGAGUUA
Non-coding RNA from Bombyx mori (domestic silkworm), 84 nucleotides. The record is from Rfam. NCBI's taxonomy places the organism in Eukaryota, Metazoa, Arthropoda, Insecta, Lepidoptera, Bombycidae.